This 440-nucleotide ribosomal RNA is filed under the name uncultured archaeon. RNAcentral describes it as "bacterial SSU rRNA". It matches the Rfam family "Archaeal small subunit ribosomal RNA", at positions 19 to 458 of the family's 1478-position model. The record is from RNAcentral.
GGAGGUUACUGCUAUCGGUGUUCGCCUAACCCAUGCGAGUCAUAUGUUCUUCGUGAACAUGGCGUACUGCUCAGUAACACGUGAAUAACCUGCCCUUGGGACCGGCAUAACCCCGGGAAACUGGGGAUAAUUCCGGAUACCGCAUAUAUGCUGGAAUGCUUUAUGCGUGAAAUGGAUUCUUCUGCCCAAGGAUGGAUCUGCGGCCUAUCAGGUAGUAGUGGGUGUAAUGUACCUACUACCCUACAACGGGUACGGGUUGUGAGAGCAAAAGCCCGGAAAUGGAUUCUGAGACAUGAAUCCAGGCCCUACGGGGCGCACCAGGCGCGAAAACUUUACAAUGCGGGAAACCGUGAUAAGGGGACACCGAGUGCCAGCAACAUUUGUUGGCUGUCCAGGUGUGUAAACUACACCUGUUAGCAAGGGCCGGGCAAAACCGGUGC